UCUUCCCCACUCCCCUUCGCCGGUCCCACGUCCCUCCCGGCCACGGCCAAAUCCAAGCCCUCGCAGCCCCUCGCCCACCUCGCUACCAGUCCAGCCAAAUCCCCGUCGCCCAGCGCGCCCCGAACUCCUCCCACAACCAGCACGCUCUCCAACCGACAGCGCACCCCGCGGCCACGGCAGGUUCCGGCCACCACCACGCCUCGGCGGGGUUUCCGCCACCGGAUCUAGCCGCAAAACGACCAUCGGUGCAGCCGACACCCACCGCCCACCGCCGCCACCCCUUCCUCCCCAUCACUCCAUCUCAGAGGAGCCUCCUCGGGCGGGUCGUGAGCAGCAGCUCCUCCAUUCCCUACACAGCUUCCCCUGAAGUCAUGUCGCCCAGCGCGCCCCAAUCCCCUACAACUGCCAGCGCAUCCUGCGGCGAUGGCGGGAUCCGGUUGCCCCUGCCCCUCAGUCGUGCAGUACAGCGCUCAGAGUUCCUUAACGCGAUACCUCCGGCUCAGUGUCAUGGCCGGCGGGCACGGUCUCGUUAAGAGCAUGGUCCAGAACCGUGGCUGCGAGCUGGCCGCGACCAAGACGGAAGUCGUGGUGAGGACGGGUCUAGCCGCUGUUUCGUCCGCCCUGUUCCACCGAUGCCGGCCCUCAUGCUUGUUGAAGGCCUAGUACAGUUCCGGCGGCACUCCUUUCUAUCAUGCAUCCAUGGUGGGACAACACGGCCAUGCUCCUCUCCAUACGCUUGGCGUGAACCAUCGUCGCUCGGCCACCUUCCCCUUCGGGCGCGACCGGCGCAACAACAAACGACGGGUCCAUGUUCGGCUUUGGUGGCUCACGUGUCGGCCGUUGUUGUACAUCCGGUGGUCCGAUGCAGCUCAGUCCCUCGUGACAAGCAGUUCCAGCAGCGUUGUUGUGGAGGUAGUUGACUCCAGCCAUCGCACGUGUGCAGUUCGGUUGGCGUAGGCAUGUGAUUCAACUAGCGUGCAUGCAGUUCAGCUUGCACAUGUGUGCGUUUUAGCCACCUUAAAAAGCAAAUGUGUUUUGGUGUGGUACCGCGCAUGGGAGUAUCCCGUUGAGUUCGGCUAGAAUAGCAUUGUGGUUAAGAGUUUAGUUUGUCACAUUUGUAGGGCAGGGCAGUCUAAUAUUUGGGUGUGUUAAUUUGUUUAAAGAAGACAAGGGAAAGUAGGUCACUCCAAUUUGUGUAGCAACUCAUAUAUGAAGUGCAAUUUAUUUCUAUGUGUUUUAAAAA
This is a long non-coding RNA of Hordeum vulgare subsp. vulgare (domesticated barley), 1243 nucleotides long. RefSeq lists it as uncharacterized. The record is from RefSeq and is a predicted model, not a curated record. NCBI's taxonomy places the organism in Eukaryota, Viridiplantae, Streptophyta, Magnoliopsida, Poales, Poaceae. The transcript is spliced from 2 exons.